This is a long non-coding RNA of Patella vulgata (common limpet), 1132 nucleotides long. RefSeq lists it as uncharacterized. The record is from RefSeq and is a predicted model, not a curated record. Lineage: Eukaryota; Metazoa; Mollusca; Gastropoda; Patellidae. The transcript has 11 exons.
CAUCCGUCUGUCUAUAAAGAACCCCUAAACCGAGUAGGCCAUCAGAUGUGUUUAACUUCAAGUUGAAUUAAUUUAACCAUGUAUGCUUUGAUUCUGAAUGUCGUGGUAGCUUUUGCCUUGAUGGCCUGUACUGCAAACAGCAAAACGUCGUGUUCACAGAGGUCCACAGUAAACCUGAAAACUAUAUCGUGUGAUCAAGUUCACCAAUCUGAUCUCUGCCGCUGCUGUACUGUAGAUCCAUGUGAUGGUGUUACCUGCAUGCAUGGUGGAAAAUGUGUAGGUGAAGGUGUUUGCGAAUGUGUAUCUGGUUACAGUGGACCAACGUGCAACAUAAAUCCUUGUGAAAAUGUCGAAUGCUUGAAUGGGGGAGAAUGUGUAGGUGAAGGUGUUUGUAAUUGUACCUUUGGUUUUGGUGGAGCUGAUUGUAGCUUGAUAGUAUGUAACGUGAACGAGUGUGAGAAUAGAGGAGGAGAGUGUUACAGAUAUAGAUGUAAGACCGAUGAUUGUGGCGACUGUGCUAGUGAUGAAGUGUGUUUGAAUGGUACUUGUGUAGACGAAGGUGAUAAUUGUCGUGGUACUACAGAUGACAUGUCUAAUGUGUGUACUGAUCAGGAUGUACCAUGCGGGGAAGGAUUCUGUCGUUUUGGUAAUAAAUGUGUAAACAACACGUGCAGGUUUCGAGGAUUAUGUGUUGGUGAUGGUGAUGGUGAUGUGUGCAAGGUAGCUGGUAAUGAUGGUACUUGUUCAGGUGGUGUUUGUCUCGAACCGUGUAGGCAAUCCAGUGAGUGUAGUGGUUAUCCAUGUAUUGGUGGAUUCUGUGCAAGUGCUGAAUGUGGAGACUCAUUUUGUUAUUACUAAAUGUGGACAACCAUAUUGUGAGUUGUAACCAAACUAGUUUAUGUUAGAGAGCAACUAUUAUUAGAUCCAAUAAAAUAAAUUGUGAUAGUUUACCACUUCUUUGAAAUAAAUAAAUGCUAUUUAGUUCUUUCUUUAUGAAUUAUAAUUCUAAGCCAAUUAUAUAUUCAUCUAAACCAAAAACUUCAAUAUAUUCAUCUGUAUUUCUUCAUAAAAACCAGAUAAACAAAGAUUUUAAAAUGUAACCAAGUUGAAAAAUAAAUAGUUUGUUCUUUGA